RNAcentral lists this ribosomal RNA (422 nucleotides) under uncultured bacterium. Its description in RNAcentral is "bacterial SSU rRNA". It matches the Rfam family "Bacterial small subunit ribosomal RNA", at positions 362 to 776 of the family's 1533-position model. The record is from RNAcentral.
UAUUGGACAAUGGGCGAAAGCCUGAUCCAGCCAUGCCGCGUGGGUGAAGAAGGCCUUCGGGUUGUAAAGCCCUUUUGUUGGGAAAGAAAACUUUCCGGCUAAUACCCGGAGAGAAUGACGGUACCCAAAGAAUAAGCACCGGCUAACUUCGUGCCAGCAGCCGCGGAAAUACGAAGGGUGCAAGCGUUACUCGGAAUUACUGGGCGUAAAGCGUGCGUAGGUGGUUCGUUAAGUCUGAUGUGAAAGCCCUGGGCUCAACCUGGGAAUUGCAUUGGAUACUGGCGGGCUAGAGUACGGUAGAGGGUGGCGGAAUUCCUGGUGUAGCAGUGAAAUGCGUAGAGAUCAGGAGGAACACCCGUGGCGAAGGCGGCCACCUGGACCAGUACUGACACUGAGGCACGAAAGCGUGGGGAGCAAACAGG